This 497-nucleotide ribosomal RNA is filed under the name uncultured bacterium. RNAcentral's name for it is "partial 16S ribosomal RNA". It matches the Rfam family "Bacterial small subunit ribosomal RNA", at positions 28 to 507 of the family's 1533-position model. The record is from RNAcentral.
GAUGAACGCUGGCGGCGUGCCUAAUACAUGCAAGUCGAGCGAACAGACGAGGAGCUUGCUCCCCUGACGUUAGCGGCGGACGGGUGAGUAACACGUGGAUAACCUACCUAUAAGACUGGGAUAACUUCGGGAAACCGGAGCUAAUACCGGAUAAUAUAUUGAACCGCAUGGUUCAAUAGUGAAAGACGGUUUUGCUGUCACUUAUAGAUGGAUCCGCGCCGCAUUAGCUAGUUGGUAAGGUGACGGCUUACCAAGGCAACGAUGCGUAGCCGACCUGAGAGGGUGAUCGGCCACACUGGAACUGAGACACGGUCCAGACUCCUACGGGAGGCAGCAGUAGGGAAUCUUCCGCAAUGGGCGAAAGCCUGACGGAGCAACGCCGCGUGAGUGAUGAAGGUCUUCGGAUCGUAAAACUCUGAUAUUAGGGAAGAACAAAUGUGUAAGUAACUAUGCACGUCUUGACGGUACCUAAUCAGAAAGCCACGGCUAACUACGUG